CCUACGGGUGACAGCAGUGGGGGAUAUUGCACAAUGGGGGAAACCCUGAUGCAGCGACGCCGCGUGGGUGAAGAAGCGCCUCGGCGCGUAAAGCCCUGUCAGCAGGGAAGAAAAUGACGGUACCUGCAGAAGAAGCCCCGGCUAACUACGUGCCAGCAGCCGCGGUAAUACGUAGGGGGGAAGCGUUAUCCGGAUUUACGGGGAGUAAAGGGGGCGCAGCAGGCGAAGCAAGCCAGGAGUGAAAGCCCGGGGCCCAACCCCGGGACUGAUCUUGGAACUGCGUGGCUAGAGUGCAGGAGGGGCAGGCGGAAUUCCUGGUGUAGCGGUGAAAUGCGUAGAUAUUAGGAGGAACACCAGUGGCGAAGGCGGCUUACUGGACUGUAACUGACGUUGAGGCUCGAAAGCGUGGGGAGCAAACAGGAUUAGAUACCCGAGUAGUC
This 440-nucleotide ribosomal RNA is filed under the name uncultured bacterium. Its description in RNAcentral is "partial 16S ribosomal RNA". It matches the Rfam family "Bacterial small subunit ribosomal RNA", at positions 338 to 795 of the family's 1533-position model. The record is from RNAcentral.